Felis catus (domestic cat) is the source of this 571-nucleotide long non-coding RNA. RefSeq lists it as uncharacterized. Lineage: Eukaryota; Metazoa; Chordata; Mammalia; Carnivora; Felidae. The transcript has 3 exons. The record is from RefSeq and is a predicted model, not a curated record.
CAUAAUAUAGCAGAAAAACCAAACCCCAACUGCUCAUAUGCCUUCUAAAAACCAAGCCAGCACUCUGUUCACAGUAUCUGCUGUCGUGUUAAAAGCCGACCCUCAAAUGAGCCAUUCAACAUGAAAACAUUUACCUGUUGGGUUAAUUGCAAUAAAAUAUACUUGACCUCUUUUGAUUUUCUCAGAUUCCUUCUGCUGUCUACUUCUAGAAAUACCUGCCUUCGGGGCAGUUCUUUCUAAGGGAGUCAAAUGUUGUUCACCACCUAGCUCCCCGAUGGACCCAUGUAUUUUCUGAAGUCACUCCAGGGAGAGGGAACUGGCGCUGGUGACAGAGCCAGGGAGGACAGGGACUAGAGCCGGCGAGGAUACGUCUUUGGCAGUACUACGAUUUGUGUUUCGAUUCCCUGUCUAACAUGGCAGCAGACACCAACUGGGAACCAAGAUUAGAUGUGAGGAUUUGUCACAUGGGAUGCUUAUGUAACGACGAUCUGGAGAACUUUUUCGCUCCUGCUGUUACCCUAACACAGCAGUGGCACUCCGGUGGACUUCCUGCAGGCAGGCUGGUGACAGG